UACAGAGGGGGCAAGCGUUGUUCGGAAUUACUGGGCGUAAAGGGCGCGUAGGCGGCCGCCUAAGUCAGACGUGAAAUCCCUCGGCUCAACCGGGGAACUGCGUCUGAUACUGGGUGGCUUGAAUCCGGGAGAGGGAUGCGGAAUUCCAGGUGUAGCGGUGAAAUGCGUAGAUAUCGGGAGGAACACCAGUGGCGAAGGCGGCUGCCUGGGCCAGUUCUGACGCUGAGGCGCGAAAGCGUGGGGAGCAAACAGG
RNAcentral lists this ribosomal RNA (253 nucleotides) under uncultured bacterium. RNAcentral's name for it is "partial 16S ribosomal RNA". It matches the Rfam family "Bacterial small subunit ribosomal RNA", at positions 524 to 776 of the family's 1533-position model. The record is from RNAcentral.